AGCGAACGCUGGCGGCAGGCCUAACACAUGCAAGUCGAACGAACUCUUCGGAGUUAGUUGCGGACGGGUGAGUACCACGUGGGAACGUGCCUUUAGGUUCGGUAUAACUCAGGGAAACUUGUCCUAAUACCGCAUGUGCCCUUCGGGGGAAGGAUUUAUCGCCUUUAGAGCGGCCCGCGUCUGUUUAGCUAGUUGGUGAGGUAAAGGCUCACCAAGGCGACGAUCAGUAGCUGGUCUGAGAGGAUGAUUAGCCACAUUGGGACUGAGACACGGCCCAAACUCCUACGGGAGGCAGCAGUGGGGAAUCUUGCGCAAUGGGCGAAAGCCUGACGCAGCCAUGCCGCGUGAAUGAUGAAGGUCUUAGGAUUGUAAAAUUCUUUCACCGGGGACGAUAAUGACGGUACCCGGAGAAGAAGCCCCGGCUAACUUCGUG
This 433-nucleotide ribosomal RNA is filed under the name uncultured bacterium. RNAcentral describes it as "partial 16S ribosomal RNA". It matches the Rfam family "Bacterial small subunit ribosomal RNA", at positions 29 to 507 of the family's 1533-position model. The record is from RNAcentral.